AUCUUCCGCAAUGGACGAAAGUCUGACGGAGCAACGCCGCGUGAGCGAAGAAGGCCUUCGGGUCGUAAAGCUCUGUUGUUAGGGAAGAAUAAGUAUGAGAGUAACUGCUCGUACCUUGACGGUACCUAACCAGAAAGCCACGGCUAACUACGUGCCAGCAGCCGCGGUAAUACGUAGGUGGCAAGCGUUGUCCGGAAUUAUUGGGCGUAAAGCGCGCGCAGGCGGUCCUUUAAGUCUGAUGUGAAAGCCCACGGCUCAACCGUGGAGGGUCAUUGGAAACUGGGGGACUUGAGUGCAGAAGAGGAGAGUGGAAUUCCACGUGUAGCGGUGAAAUGCGUAGAGAUGUGGAGGAACACCAGUGGCGAAGGCGACUCUCUGGUCUGUAACUGACGCUGAGGCGCGAAAGCGUGGGGAGCAAACAGG
This 423-nucleotide ribosomal RNA is filed under the name uncultured bacterium. Its description in RNAcentral is "bacterial SSU rRNA". It matches the Rfam family "Bacterial small subunit ribosomal RNA", at positions 361 to 776 of the family's 1533-position model. The record is from RNAcentral.